GCUUGAGAUUCCUUUGAGAUUUGGCCAUACACCCCAAAACAGGCAGCAGCCACACUGGCCCUGAUGUGACAUCAUUGCUGCUGACUUGCUUUGAGGCCAGAUUAUUCCAAAUAUGGAGAGUGAGGCUUCCUGCAGUAAUCUGACCAACCCCUGCUGUGAUUUUGAAAAAUCCAGAAGCUACAAGUGGUGUAUAGUACCAAUAUGCUAAAGCACAACAAAAAGCACACUGGGAAAAAUAUUUGCACAUGUACCUAAAGAGAAGAAGUGACAGAAAGCUUGGGUAGAUGCAGUGAGAAAAGUUGUUCAGUGAGAAAUCCCUGAUUGUGUGUCAGGACCAUUUCAAUAAUGGAGCAACCGUGUGCAGAAGGGGUGUGUGAACAAUUUCAUAGGAGUGGAGAUGAGUGGGGUGAAGACCACAAGGCCUGGAGCUCUCUGUUUAACAGCUGGAUGGUAGGCAGAAACUUAUUAGAUGUAGCUUCCCUGAGCAUCUGAAGAUGGGAACUUCACCAGUUGAAUUUCUGGCUGCUCUGCAGCUGAAGUACAGGCCAAAUACCAACAGGUUCUGCUUCCAUCCUCUUACGAUGUAAUAUACCGCCCAAUCCACAGACUCAGAGUGGUGUACAAAACAAGAACAGCAUCCAAGAGAAAGAAAGACAGAAAGAAAGAAAGAAAGAAAGAAAGAAAGAAAGAAAGAAAGAAAGAAAGAAAGAAAGAAAGAAAGAAAGAUUUAAAUGGCAAAUGUCUGGUGGAAAAGAAGUCUUCAAUAAAAAGGCUUAAAGGCAGA
This is a long non-coding RNA of Hemicordylus capensis (graceful crag lizard), 784 nucleotides long. RefSeq lists it as uncharacterized. The record is from RefSeq and is a predicted model, not a curated record. The transcript is spliced from 4 exons. Lineage: Eukaryota; Metazoa; Chordata; Lepidosauria; Squamata; Cordylidae.